GGCGGAUGUAGCCAAGGGAUCAAGGCGGG
RNAcentral lists this transfer RNA (29 nucleotides) under Parasenegalia visco (viscote negro). RNAcentral's name for it is "partial tRNA-His". The record is from RNAcentral. Lineage: Eukaryota; Viridiplantae; Streptophyta; Magnoliopsida; Fabales; Fabaceae.